This 467-nucleotide ribosomal RNA is filed under the name uncultured bacterium. RNAcentral describes it as "partial 16S ribosomal RNA". It matches the Rfam family "Bacterial small subunit ribosomal RNA", at positions 28 to 507 of the family's 1533-position model. The record is from RNAcentral.
GAUGAACGCUGACAGAAUGCUUAACACAUGCAAGUCAACUUGAAUUUGGGUUUUUAACUUAGGUUUGGGUGGCGGACGGGUGAGUAACGCGUAAAGAACUUGCCUCACAGCUAGGGACAACAUUUGGAAACGAAUGCUAAUACCUAAUAUUAUGAUAAUAGGGCAUCCUAUAAUUAUGAAAGCUAUAAGCGCUGUGAGAGAGCUUUGCGUCCCAUUAGCUAGUUGGAGAGGUAACGGCUCACCAAGGCGAUGAUGGGUAGCCGGCCUGAGAGGGUGAUCGGCCACAAGGGGACUGAGACACGGCCCUCACUCCUACGGGAGGCAGCAGUGGGGAAUAUUGGACAAUGGACCAAGAGUCUGAUCCAGCAAUUCUGUGUGCACGAUGAAGUUUUUCGGAAUGUAAAGUGCUUUCAGUUGGGAAGAAAGAAAUGACGGUACCAACAGAAGAAGUGACGGCUAAAUACGUG